Molecule: ribosomal RNA, 519 nt
Filed under: uncultured delta proteobacterium
Lineage: Bacteria; Deltaproteobacteria
Description: bacterial SSU rRNA
Rfam family: Bacterial small subunit ribosomal RNA
Source: RNAcentral
GCCCGCACAAGCGGUGGAGCAUGUGCUUUCAUUCGACGCAACGCGAAGAACCUUACCUGGGUUUGAAAUGCAUCUGACAGGCAUAGAGAUAUGCCCUCCCUUCGGGGCAGAUGCACAGGUGCUGCAUGGCUGUCGUCAGCUCGUGUCGUGAGAUGUUGGGUUAAGUCCCGCAACGAGCGCAACCCCUACCCUUAGUUGCCAGCGGGUAAUGCCGGGGACUCUAAGGGAACUGUCGGCCACAAGCCGGAGGAAGGUGGGGAUGACGUCAAGUCCUCAUGGCCUUUAUGCCCAGGGCUACACACGUGCUACAAUGGCCUGCACAAAGGGAAGCGAUACCGCGAGGUGGGGCAAAUCCCAAAAAGCAGGUCUCAGUUCAGAUUGAAGUCUGCAACUCGACUUCAUGAAGGCGGAAUCGCUAGUAAUCGUGGAUCAGCACGCCACGGUGAUACGUUCCCGGGUCUUGUACACACCGCCCGUCACACCACGAAAGCUGAUUGUACCAGAAGUCGCCGGGCUAAC